Molecule: ribosomal RNA, 502 nt
Filed under: Choneplax lata
Lineage: Eukaryota; Metazoa; Mollusca; Polyplacophora; Chitonida; Acanthochitonidae
Description: partial 16S ribosomal RNA
Rfam family: Bacterial large subunit ribosomal RNA
Source: RNAcentral
CGCUCUUUGAAUCCAAAAUAUAGAGAGUCGUGCCUGCCCAGUGAUAUUUUCAACGGCCGCAGUACCCUGACUGUGCUAAGGUAGCAUAAUCACUUGCUUUUUAAUUGAAAGCUAGAAUGAAUGGCUUGACGUAAACAUAACUGUCUCUUUUAUACUAUCUAGAAAUUAAUUUCCAGGUGAAGAAGCCUGGAUAUUUUCAAAAGACGAAAAGACCCUAUCGAGCUUAAAAGUAAUUUUAACCUUUUUAUUCAGCUAAACUUGAGUUAAAAAUAAUUUUUUGUUGGGGCGACAGAAGAACAUACAAAGCUUCUUUUAAUUUACAAAACCGAUAGGUUUUAACGAUCCAUUAAUAAUGAAUAGAAGAAAAGUUACCGUAGGGAUAACAGCGUAAUUUCUUUAGAGAGCCCAAAUUGAAGAAGAAGUUUGCGACCUCGAUGUUGGAUUAAAAAAUCUCUUUGAUGCAGCAGUCAAAGCAGAAGGUCUGUUCGACCUUUAAAUUUUU